RNAcentral lists this transfer RNA (66 nucleotides) under Meretrix lusoria. RNAcentral describes it as "tRNA-Pro". RNAcentral also lists the same sequence under 1 other name. The record is from RNAcentral. Lineage: Eukaryota; Metazoa; Mollusca; Bivalvia; Venerida; Veneridae.
CAAGAUGUAGUUUAUAAUAAAACUUUAGCUUUGGAAGUUAAAAAUGUUACUGGUUAGCUGUCUUGA